GUGGUUGCGGGAACAAUUUCCAAACAUUCGAUUACGUGAGAAUCCCAGCUUGUGUGGCAACGAAGCGAUAACGAUCACGAACGUGUCUCGAGUUUCCAUGUCCCGAUUGACAUUGAAACGCGUACAAGGACGACGCGAUCUUUGGAAUUUCCUUGCACACGCGUUCGUGUUUCUUCGAUCGUGUUACGCGGUGUUUCGUUACGUUCGCCGCGUACAGGUUAUGUGUGCUUGUGACCGUAUCGCUGACACGAACCGGGCAAAUCGUGCACAUUUCGUUGAAAUGCAGUGCAUGAAAAAAGAUGUGAUUCAAGUAACAACAGACGUGCUAAAGUGGCACGAAAUGUUCCACGGUUAGGUGAUAAAGUUUCGAAACGUGACAGAUUACUAUUUACGGUAUCAGCCAGAAAAUCGGUGUAAAAGUAGCAUUAAAAGAUGAGUUGGAUAUCAAAUGUACUGUACUGUCUUGAUAACUGACGACUGGAUACGCAUGUAACGAGUUAGUCAGGGAGGAUUUACAUUAAAAAUUUGACGUUAAUAUAGAAUUGUGUAGAAGGAUUGACUUACACGAUGCUAGCCAAUGUGCAAUUCGAGAUAUCGAGAUUUCAAAGUCGCUAGGUUAUAUAUAUUAUAUAAUAUAUUGUAGAAACAGUCGAAUGUAGAGAUUCAGGAUAAGCAAAAUGAAAGAAAUACAAUGGCUAGAAAAAGUAUUUGUAAAUACUAUAUCUGUAUAUUAUUUUCCAAUGAAGCGUUUUUUAUCAGGUUCUAUAUUAAAUUUUCAUAGUAUCAAAUGUUUUUUGUAGUCAUACGAAAGUACUAUUACUAUAAACUUAAUGUAGUUGAACCUAAUUAAUUAGCAUGUAAACGCUAUAAUGCAGUGGUGUGUAGAUGCUUUCGCACUGUACGUAUACAUAUAACGAAAUUCCAUCUAUCCAAUUUCCACUUAUCGAAAUGAAAGUUUAGCUAGUGCUCGAUUAAAUUACUCGCUAUUGAAGAUGAAUCAAUUUAUCUGAACUUAUCUAUUAUAUAAGCGAAAAAUCAUAGGUAGUGCGGAGGGUGAGUGAACUCAAAUUACAUGAACUUUGGCUGUCAAUGAAUAUACAUGCAUACGUUCUAUUACUUUACUAUUACUACAACGCCGUUUCGCCCUAGGCAUUUCAAGGAAACGAUGGGGAUAGCGGUGGCCAGGUAACAAGGCAGAACGUAUAUUCCUAUAAUACUUAUAAUUCAAGGAACAUGUUAUAUAGCAAAAAUUGCGUAUAUUAUCCUGGGAAAGUCACGCGUAAACUUUUCACGCGAAUGGAUGUUACGUUACACGUGGCACCUGGCACUUGUUUUGCAACGUGAAAAUAUUCGCAAUAUUUAUCGCUUGGCUUAAUGGUCCUCUAUCGGGCGUUCUAUUCACGCAAAACAAAUUGCACAAAUUCUCUCUCGCAACGAACGAUGAUUUAUAGAUUCUUUAUUAGACGUUUCUCAAACAGUUUCAGAACGAAGACUUCUUUUUUAUAUCGUUUGACGUUUACGCACGAGAAACUCCAUUUAAACGCAUACACAGGUUAAAAAGCAAAGAGAACAGCGUUCGUUCGUUGUAGUUUUUUGUCGUGCCACUUCCCUCGCCUAAGUGGUUCAGCCUUGAGUAGGUAAGCCGGGUAAUUGUAAACAAAUGGGGUGAUCGACCUCGAUGUCUGAGCCUUGAGAGUCGCUCUCGGAAUUCUUGAUAUUGGGAAGCAUUGAACUGUGCGAUUCAGACGACGCGACACGCGCUAGACACGACGUGUAAUCGUCUGGCGGACGACUGAUCCGCGAUUAAUCACAUUCAACGUUUAUCGUGCAUGUUUCGUGCUCCUAUUACCGUUUCGUUCGCGUUAACGUUAAAAGGCUGACACAAUGCUCGGUUUCGUAAGUCGCGACACGGCUGUCGGAAAAAUCUCGCGGCAGGAAAGUGUAGGUUACGGGAUUGACAACGAGAAAAUCCCAGAAUUGUGUUGACACGUGUGUUUUGCUGCGAAAGCAGAGCACGAGUGUUGUCGAAUAUCUAGUUACGAAUAGGAAAUAUCAAUUUCAAACGUAUGCUUGUAGUUCAAUCUCCCUUCAAGUAUAAAGAAUUCAAAUAUUAUUUCUUUUACAUAAUAAUUAGUUUUCGUAAUCAAUCAUUUAGUUGUUAUGAAAAUGAUCUGCAAAUUAUAUUUCUGCGAUGUUUAAGUGAUUUUUUCUAAAUCGAACGAUUAAUUAGUCAACUGGUCAAUAAUGUGUUUUAUUUGAUUACAUAUGUAUAUAGAGAAAUAUUUAAAUUAUAUCUAUGGAAUUUAAUAUUAUAUCUAUGGAAUUACAUAGAAAUUCUAAACGACGAAGUUGGCAAUUAACAGGAGAAAGCCACUUGCAAAAUCCACUCCAGCGAUUUCUCUACAUAAAAACGCGUUAUCAACAGAUGUGGAUCUAUUUCCGCGAACUAUGCAGAUCGUAAGUUCCUCUAGAAAAAUUGAUGAUUUCCCUCUAUUUCACCUACAAUCGUAUAACGCAAGCGAAUCAUAAAUCUGACUUCAUCGUCGAUGUAACAAAUUCUUUGGUUACAGAAAGAACGCUUCUAUAAUGAGGAAUCUGUAUAAAUCAAACUCGUAUAAUUUCCAAAGGAAAAGCGUCUGAUCAUAAAACCAAUCCUAACAUUCAACCCUACAGUGGUUAGACAGGAAAUUCGUCCUUGGAACAGUAUUCACUUAUGAUAAGCCGGGAUCAACUUAUUCGAAGGAAUCUGUAUAAAAUCACAGGAUUCUACGAAUCCAACUUCGCUUGAGAUAUCGAUGGUCGUAAUCCGACUUAGGCUUGGUGUAGACAUAACGUCGCGUCCUGGUUGCGAUUUCGUAGUGGCGAUGCUGUACAAUUCGACACUUUCAUAUUUUUUCCACUAAAACUACAUCACUUGCAUUGAAUUUAAGAUCCCUGUGAUUUGGAAAGAUUUAUAUUUCUAUCAAUAACGCGAUGAACACUGUCGUAGAAUUCUGUUAUUGACAAGGUAAAACUAUCGAAUUACGCAGCGCAGUACCGCUGCGAAAUUGCAACGAUAUUGCGCUGUUUGCCUGCGUUAGACUUUCAGAGUCAGCCUCCUUCUUCAACGUUUCCUUGAAACGCAUCUACUGUUAAGCACUUUCGAGAAUCGCCGUUGGAAAAUUGGCUCGGUUUUUCCAUGGAUCCGGUCACCGUGGCGCCGGUAAAUAAAAGUGAAAUUGUACCGUUGGUUCGCGUGGCCUUUGUAAUUUGCGACUGUAAACUAUAACUUUCACUAGGACUUUCGUCGGUUCUGUCGAAAGAGCGGCGUCCCUCGUCCACGUUGAAAUAUACGCGAGCCAUUAUUGUCAUCCGUACGCGGGCAAAAGCGAGAGCUGUGUCGUAAUUGCUGACGAUAAAAUUUACGUUGCUGUACCUUUCGAGUAUUUACGCGUUUACCUUAUGCCUUUAGCAAGGAAAAACGUCUGAACGCAGUUAGGUUUAGAAUUCUGUAGUAAUCCGGCGAAGUUAAUGAACGAUCGGCUUAACCGUUAUGUUAUCGCCGUGGUUAAUUAAAAAAAACGCGGAAAUUGAAACACACGAGAGGUUUGCCAUCGGAGUUAUCAUAAAUUUUAACACUGAUCUUAUUCGGAUAGACUUUUCGCCUCAGAGAUUUCAGAUUCAGUCGAAAAUCAUUAAUUAGUACGCUGCGUUGGCGUGGACCGUUAAGAGAAAACGAAAUCGUUGACGGUUUAUAAUUUUGAUAGAAUCUAAUGAUAUACAACUUGAAACGAAUUACACGUCGUAAUUUUUAUUUUUCAUAGCUUCGAGUUCCUGCUGAUUUCAUACGAAAUACAUCGAUCAAUUAUCAGGAAGAGGAACAGAAACAACACUAUGCAAUAAAAGCUGGUGAAGACUGUUAUUGCACGAGUUAUGGAAAAAUAACUAAUUAGAAAUUAUUAAAAUUUGAAUAAUUGGCAAAAUUGAUACAAUAAUCAUAAAUUUAAUCUAUUUGUUGAUAAGUAUCCUAAUAUUUAUGAACGAGGAUAUAUAUGUACGAGCCCCAUGCCCCCCAAAAAAUCUUAACGCAAUUACUCUGUUAUCUUCAAAGCGUAAUAUAUUUGUUAUCGACUUCGUUUAAAAAAUCAUGUAAUCUAAAAUUCUUAAUGUACAUCAAUCACCGAAUAUCAAAAUUUCAGUAAAGUUAAAGCUCCAAAGAUAUUUGGUCGGGAGUGUGUAGAUUUAACCUAACGAUUUCUCUCUGGUCGCAAAUAAAGAAAUAACCGAGCAGUGUCAUCUCUUGUUCGUCGAAGAGCACUCGAUGAAAAUUUUGCUCGUAUCUGGAUAUACAGAUAGACCUUGUCCAGCAUCCGAGGUUCCGAAUGUCGAAAGGAAUGCUCGAUCGGACAGGCCGAUGUCUUGGGACGCGCAUACCGGUACCAACGGUCGCGUAUCCAUGGUACAGCCGCAUCAGGAGUACAACCCGAGAUAAUCGCGCGGCGAGUUCUUAAAGGACGACGUAUCUCUAUACUAAGCCAAUUUAAAUACCUUUCCGCGGUAUAGUGGCUUCUUUUCCUAGGCCUGGUUGGAAGCUCGCCUCGGCACUGUAUAAUUAUACGUGGGUUAAUAAUGACUUACGAACUGCAACCAGGCCUUCUUGUUCGUUUGUUUAGUGCCACCGAUACGUGGUUGCACCGAGGCCAGCCACGAUGUUGCAUUAAAUUGCAUCGCGCUAAUCUACCGAUCGUUCUGUCUCUUUCUCUCUCUCUCUCUCUUUCUCUGGUUCCUUAUGCACGCCGCAAUACCAGCAGAAAGAUAUUUUUUAAGCUACCACAAGAUAGGGGGAGGAAAUUUUCUCCCGCGUCACGAAUGUUACUCGAUUGUUGAUUCUACUGGUUGAACGUUUUCGUUUUCGUUGGUAAGGAAAAGGAAUUCCAUCGUGGCUGAAUCAUCGGGCUACUACGAGUCGCUGGAUUCUGUAGCUUUAGCCCGUUCUAUAGCUUUCAUACGUCUUUUACCGCUAUGAUGUUGAUUUAUCCAGCGAAUUAUUAGACACGCAUUAACCAUGUACUUUUCCCAGCUACCUAUCCAUUAUACAUCAUACAGAUAUGUUUACAUUUAAUUAGCGCGAUAUGUAAAUACGUGGUUAUCGUGGAUAACCAGUUGCUCGUGAAAUUCUGUUAGAUUCGCGCAAACGAGCAUUAACACGACCGUUAGUAACAAAUAUCACGGAUGAAUGGCAAAUCGAGCUUUUAAACGACGAUUACGUACGUCAGAGAAGGGAGUUAUUAAAGAGAGCUGGCGCUCAUUCUUUUUCUGUCGAUCCGUACAACUUCGUGGCUCAACAUCGUUGUUGCAUCUGAUGUGCCGGUACUAUCACACGCUCAAGUUUUUCUCCGAAAACGAUGCAAGUAGGACGUUAUUCUUCCUUUAUUCUUUUCUCUGGCCUGAAUUUGCUCGGCGAUGUUCGGUUCUUCGAAUGAUCUAAUAUGAACGAAUAUCUUGAGAAUAUAAAUGAGCGUAAGUUCUGCAAAAUAUACGUAUCUAGAGUGUACAAUGUGCCACUAUUCGAAGCGUACACACGUGGCUUGAAUGGAAAUUACUACGCGGACAGUGUAGCAGGAAACGUAUCGGGUCAAAGGUUAACAUUGUGUUUAACUAUUGAUGCUUUCAAGAUCGAAUUUUUUUGAGGUAAGAUUAAUUUCUUAUCAAUAAUAGGAGCACGUUUCUUCUUACAUUUUAUCGAAUGAGAUAUCCUAAUAAAAGAUGAAGCUUCGAACUUAUAAGUUACAAUUAUAAAACCCAAUUUACAAUUUUAACGUAGCAAUGCUUUAAUUACGACUACUUCGAAAAAUACUGAAUAUGUAACUCUAUAAUCGCGUAUUUCUCGUAAACAGCAUAACGAAACCAAUGUAAAAGUUUCAACUAAAUCAAAGACACGAGGAGGCAACCUUACACUCUCCUUUUCAGUUGAAUAUUACUGAAACACUUACACAAUUCCCCCUUAGCGAUAUGUUUUAUGUAAUUGAACUACUGAACGCUUGCAAAACUUUAAUCGCAAAUAUCUUAAAAACGGAGGCUCGUACUGAAAAACCCUAUUAGGAUUUUGCAACGCUCAACAUGCGCUAUAAUUUGCACCUAGUCAUUCUAACAACGAUUUUCGUAGCCGUCCCUUCUCCGUAUUAACUACGCGUGUUAUUUGAGACGAAAAUUAUAAGAAUAUCUAUAACGUUCGAAGCACUCCGGAAUAAUUCCCAUAGUAAUUAAAAAAUUCUUCGAUCGAGAGAAGAUGAGAAAUAUAAGACGAUCUUAAAUUUUCAAAGACGUUCGAUGAACACAAAAAGUUGGUAGGAUCGUUGGAGCAAAGAGAAACAUGGAGUCCCGAGUGUAACGCGCCUCUCUCAUUAUCGUCUUCCCCAAUGCAUGACGCUAUGCUUGAUGCACUGUUAUUGCCGUGUAUCGUAUACACGGCCCUGGCAUAAUGACUGUAACCCGCCGCAUAAUCCUGUACUCCUCCCUUUGUCGUCGUACGCCUCGAAACACACCGAGGCACUUGAAUCGAUGAAUGUUAAUCCGUGUCAAAGAGCACUUACCGCGGAAGCGUUCGGGUAUUUCGCGGCUUGAUAUCGCGAACACAUCGUCAUCCGUAGACGUUUCCGUAGCCGUGGAUGCUGCUGCGAGUAAUUGCAUCGAGGAUCGGUUUAAUCGCGGAAAGCACGGUUUGUUCGUCGAAAGGGGUAAGAAUGAACAAUGUAAAUAGGAAUUGUGACGCCUAUGGAAGAUAUCUUCUUUUCCUCCGAGCUAAUGAGUGAUAAGUGCAAGCAAAUAGGACGUAUCUUUGUAUAAUUCAUUGCAACAUUUCAUUUGUAAUCUCUCUUAUCACUUUAUGUUAUUGAAUACUAACUGUAAGUACGCAUCUGUUUAGGAGACAGCAACGAACCCUUUUCCUCGCUACACAUUUUCGUCAUUCACGCGUACGUUGCAACCACAGACGAAUGUACUGAUAUAAGAUGAAAGCGUCUUCCUCGUCGUUCGACGUUUUAAUAAUGAGACAAAAUAUAUCUUACUGUACGCUUCGUAGACUGAACAUCGGUGUAAACGUUCACACCUGUCGUCACACCUAAUGGGCCACCCUUAUGCUUUUACGAAGCGACGUUUCGUGGACAGCGAGUCUUAAGGAUGGCAGAAUAAUUUUUUGCUUCGUUGGAAAAGAGCAUAAAAAUACUCACAAGUAUAAUUUUCUUACGUACAUCGUCAGAGUACUACUAUCAGAUAAGGUUAAGAUUAAGGACAUAAAAUAAAAGUGAAAAGAAGAGAGAUAUUCGAAAGCUGGAAAAGUUAGUAGAAACUAGUAGAAUAUCUAUGUGCGCACGGAAAAGGGGGAAUCAGUCUCCUAAGAGGAUGAAGAAAUAAAUUUCUAUAAAGCAUCGAUAAAUGCCAAUCUCGCGAUAAGCAAGAAACGAAUAUUCUUCGUAACAACGAUAAUCCGCCGUUCGAUCGACAUGCGCACGCUCAUAAAAUUUUAUCGCGCUGUUAUAUCCUCCUGUGUCUAUAGAUGUUCCACGUUGUUCAUUAUACAGCAUGUUUUCAUAAUCGAUACGCUUCUUAUCAAUGUAC
Bombus huntii is the source of this 7596-nucleotide long non-coding RNA. RefSeq lists it as uncharacterized. The transcript has 3 exons. NCBI's taxonomy places the organism in Eukaryota, Metazoa, Arthropoda, Insecta, Hymenoptera, Apidae. The record is from RefSeq and is a predicted model, not a curated record.